CACAAUAUUGCAGUUUAGAACUAAUCUGCGCAUAAGCUUUUGUCAUUUGUUGGGGAAAUAUCAUGCAACCUUCAUAGAUAUAUAGCCCAGAAUGCUACAUAUUUGGACAUUUUGUGGUGUAAAUGCCUGAAGUAACUAGGAAAAUAAAGCUAACAUUCACAUUUUUAAGGAAAAGGUACAGCAUUGAAGAGGCUUUCAGGGUAGGGCAUAACUGCAUUAUCUGAGCAUUCCCUAGGCUCCCAACCUUAGAUGCUAUCGCGCUGGGGAAACUUGGUGUGCUAGCUCUAAGGAACACCACGGAGCGUAGAGUGGAGUGGAGACACCACGGCUAGGCUCUGUAAUCAGGUGGGGCCUCGAUUGUUCUUGUGCACAAAGCUGCACUUUUUGCCACCCUAAGCCAAAGACCUGUCAUGUUUUGACAAAUGCUGUACCCUAGUGUACUUUUUGCUCAUUAUAAUAUCAUUAUAAUACCAAAACACACCUCCAUCCCAAAAGCUACCCGCCUCCAAGGUGCGACCACCCCUCACUGAGCAUGUGCUCUGAAUUUCUCGGAGCCUAUUACUUUAAAUGGAGACGGGAAAACUUUACACCAAUCAUAACUAAGAUAUGCUUGACUAGAGCCACUCAAGCUCCACCUAAAAGAUAGAAAAUGAUAUAAAUUGGCCCAAGAGAGAGGGGAUGUUAGGGAAGAUACCAUCGUCAGGGGAGAUACCAUCCCGAGGACAUACAACAUCCUUAGGACCUCCUGACUCCUGGGAUCAGUCGACGGGCUGAGCCUCUCUUCCCCCCCCAUUGGGACGCCUUUGGACAUUGUUGACUUUCUGGGAGCUGGUUGAUCCUGUCAUGAAGAAGCAAGAGAGGGUUGAUCUGCAAAGGAUGGGAGCAAGGAGUCAGACUGGCAAAGCAGUGCCUUCACCAACGCAGAUUCAAGCCCAGAGUGCUCCAACCAGAAUGGACCAGGUCCAGAGAGCAUAACCAGGGCAGUCAGGAUCCCAGCUUCUUACAGCCCUGGCAUUUAUUCUGCAUCUGUUGAUAUCAUCAUCCUGUAAUACUUCGAAGAAGGAAGCUCCAUUUCCAAGUCCAGGGAAGAGUGAUUACGAAUUCAGUGUGCCAGCAGAGAAAUUCAGGCAGAGGUCAAGUAUCCUGUAUCCUAUUAAUGUGUGGGACUGCUAUAAGUCAUCCAGAUUUUUUAAGUCAUCUUGGUUCAUCUUCAGGAGAACUUUCAGACACAUCUGGUUUUAGGUUUAAAUUUUAAAAAGACAACUUCCAAAAAAAAAAAAAAAAACCACACCUUUUUUAUAAAUCACACACUGUAACAACCAGAUUUGAGGGAAAAUAUAUUUGUUCCAGAAGCAACUGGUCUAGUGAAAUUCUGUCCACAAUGAAAUGAGCUGCAAAUCUCCAGGUAUCUUCAUAGGAGUGAAAGUUUUACCAGAUUACGAAAAGCUAGUUUAGGAGCUGGAAGAAAGAUCAUUCAAACCUGGCAAUCCCUGAGAAACUACUCUUUCAAACCCAGUGGCAAAACUGAUUAUGAUGGGAUCAAGACAUCAAAUUUGGUCCAUAUGAUAGUUUAUUUAAAAAUAAAUAAAUAAAUAAAUAAAUAAAUAAAUUAUAC
RNAcentral lists this long non-coding RNA (1615 nucleotides) under Anas platyrhynchos platyrhynchos (common mallard). RNAcentral's name for it is "lncRNA (ENSAPLG00000022963.1)". Lineage: Eukaryota; Metazoa; Chordata; Aves; Anseriformes; Anatidae. The record is from RNAcentral.